AUACCUUUCUCGACCUUUUGGCUAAGAUCAAGUGUAGUAUCUGUUCUUAUCAGUUUAAUAUCUGAUACGUGGGUCAUCGAUCCACUAUGAUAUUAAAUUAAUUUGUUGUGGGGGAGGGUUCACCAUAGUGGCUUACCAUUGGGACUCUCACGCGUCGUCGCCUAUGCGUUGCGCUACUGCAUGGGCCUGGCAUGCCUCAA
Musa acuminata AAA Group (dessert banana) is the source of this 200-nucleotide small nuclear RNA. RefSeq annotates it as U2 spliceosomal RNA. The record is from RefSeq and is a predicted model, not a curated record. Lineage: Eukaryota; Viridiplantae; Streptophyta; Magnoliopsida; Zingiberales; Musaceae. The transcript has a single exon.